AGAGUUUGAUCCUGGCUCAGGGCGAACGCUGGCGGCGGGCUUAACACAUGCAAGUCGUACGCGGGGUUCUCCUUCGGGAGGACUGCCGAGUGGCGAACGGGUGCGUAACGCGUAGGCAACCUGCCCUCGAGUGGGGGAUAACCCCGGGAAACCGGGGCUAAUACCGCAUAUUGUCUUGGAACCGCAUGGUGCCAAGAUGAAAGCCUUUGGGCGCUCGAGGAUGGGCCUGCGUCGGAUUAGCUAGUUGGUGAGGUAAUGGCUCACCAAGGCGACGAUCCGUAGCUGGUCUGAGAGGACGGCCAGCCACACUGGCACUGAGACACGGGCCAGACUCCUACGGGAGGCAGCAGUGAGGAAUCUUGGGCAAUGGGCGAAAGCCUGACCCAGCCACGCCGCGUGGAGGAUGAAGCCCUUCGGGGUGUAAACUCCUUUUCUGGGGGAAGAAAUCUUGGCAUUUGUCAGGAGUGACGGUACCCCAGGAAUAAGCGCCGGCUAACUCCGUGCCAGCAGCCGCGGUAAUACGGAGGGCGCAAGCGUUGCCCGGAAUCACUGGGUGUAAAGGGUGCGUAGGCGGGGCUGUAAGUCAGAGGUGAAAUCCCCCGGCUUAACCGGGGAAUUGCCUCUGAUACUGCAGCUCUUGAGUCCCGGAGAGGCCGCUGGAAUUCCUGGUGUAGCGGUGAAAUGCGUAGAUAUCAGGAGGAACACCAGAGGCGAAGGCGGGCGGCUAGACGGGAACUGACGCUGAGGCACGAAUGCGUGGGGAG
Molecule: ribosomal RNA, 764 nt
Filed under: uncultured bacterium
Lineage: Bacteria
Description: bacterial SSU rRNA
Rfam family: Bacterial small subunit ribosomal RNA
Source: RNAcentral